Molecule: transfer RNA, 71 nt
Filed under: Bos taurus (domestic cattle)
Lineage: Eukaryota; Metazoa; Chordata; Mammalia; Artiodactyla; Bovidae
Also listed under: 5 other names
Rfam family: tRNA
About the family: Transfer RNA (tRNA) molecules are approximately 80 nucleotides in length. Their secondary structure includes four short double-helical elements and three loops (D, anti-codon, and T loops). Further hydrogen bonds mediate the characteristic L-shaped molecular structure. tRNAs have two regions of fundamental functional importance: the anti-codon, which is responsible for specific mRNA codon recognition, and the 3' end, to which the tRNAs corresponding amino acid is attached (by aminoacyl-tRNA synthetases). tRNAs cope with the degeneracy of the genetic code in two manners: having more than one tRNA (with a specific anti-codon) for a particular amino acid; and 'wobble' base-pairing, i.e. permitting non-standard base-pairing at the 3rd anti-codon position.
Source: Rfam by way of RNAcentral
UCCUGAUAGCUUAGUUGGUAAAGAAUCUGCUUGCAGUGCAGGAGGUCUCAGUUCAAUUCCUGAAUCAGGAA